Quercus robur (English oak) is the source of this 1399-nucleotide long non-coding RNA. RefSeq lists it as uncharacterized. Lineage: Eukaryota; Viridiplantae; Streptophyta; Magnoliopsida; Fagales; Fagaceae. The record is from RefSeq and is a predicted model, not a curated record. The transcript is spliced from 2 exons.
CGCGUUUUUGGGGUCUUAAGUUGCGUUUUUCAAACGCAGCUUUAGACCGGUUUUUUUGUAGUGUUGGUAAGGGUUCUAGCUACUCUCCUCUUAGAAUCCAUGUUUUCCUUUAAAUAAUUUUAGUAAUGGUAUUUGUAAGUCUAUAUAUAUAUAUAUAUAUGCUGUUUUAAGAAGCUUUGAAGUUGUGUUGGUGAUUUGUUGAAGGUAGGUUAGGGUUUUUACUAAUUAAUGAUUUUAUAGGAUUAAGGAAGUAAGAAAAUGUUAGGAUGAGUAUUUUGAUGCUGCUGCUGGGAUUUUUGGUUGUGGGUAUUUUGCUCUAAAUGGUUAAAUGACUGUAUGUAAGUGUUUUAUAACAUGUCUUAUGAGUGUAUAAAAAUCCCCAUAUGAAAAUACCAUCGUUUGAUAAUUGUUUGUGGAUUUACGAUAAAAUGUUGCAAAGCUGUCACUGUGACAGAUUCUGUGUUUAUGCAUGAUAAAUUAUGUAUUAAAUUUCAUAUAGUGAAUUUGGAUGCUAGGGAUAAUUCCUAUGAAACCUAACACACUUGUGGUUGUUAUUGAAUUGGUCUCACAGCAUUUGGAUUAAUAUAAAAAUAAUGGUUUAAUUUUUAAGUUGCAAGAAAUUCUGUCAGGGCAGAUUUGAGUAUGCUGUCUUGUGUGAUUUUUAGUAAAUCAUGGGUUUAUUAUUUGGCUCCGAAAUUUUUAUGUUAUAUACUGAACAUACAGGGGAGUUGUUAUGUAAAAUUUCAUAACAAUUGGAUAUGUUUGAACAGCCCGUUUGUAUUUUACAAAUGGAGCCUAUGCUGCUGGAAUAGAACAGUGAAUAGUAAGGGACAUGCCUAACUUUGUGGAUUUAAUUCUCAAGUUAGGGUGAAUGUUUUGAGCUAUAAUUUAAUAUGCUCAUCCUUUGGUAUGUUAGAAUCAUAUAUAAAUUUUAUGAAUUGGUUUCUCUAUGAUUUAGUACAUCAUGUUGUCUGAUGAAUGCAUUUUGUGUUUGUGGGAACCUCUUUGAGGUGGGAUUAGGACUUCCUUGAUUCUAAGAGAUGGGCUUUGAGAUGAAUGUGAAGUUUAUGAUAAGGAAUUAUGGAUAGUAAUAAGCUUUGAUUUAUGGUUUAGGUGUUACCGGUAUCCAAGUCUAAGCUCCUUCGACUUUAGGCUCUCGGUUCCUCUGCUUUCAGUUAACAGGUUUUAUUUUGGAGCUGAGGGAGCCUUAGUCGAGUUUUGGAAGGAGCUGGUUUAGUUUUAUAUGUAUAGAUCCUAAAUUAGCAAUAUGAUGUUUAGAUUUGUAGCAUUGUUUAUUCUAGGAUCUAAUGAAAGUGUAUACCUUAAAGUAUUAAGAGAUGUAUUAUGUGAAAUUCUAAAUUUGAACAAUUGGUGAAUUAUGUUAUUCUUUGGAGUACAA